RNAcentral lists this ribosomal RNA (415 nucleotides) under uncultured bacterium. Its description in RNAcentral is "bacterial SSU rRNA". It matches the Rfam family "Bacterial small subunit ribosomal RNA", at positions 355 to 787 of the family's 1533-position model. The record is from RNAcentral.
UGGGGAAUAUUGGACAAUGGGCGAAAGCCUGAUCCAGCAAUGCCGCGUGAGUGAUGAAGGCCUUAGGGUUGUAAAGCUCUUUUACCCGGGAUGAUAAUGACAGUACCGGGAGAAUAAGCCCCGGCUAACUCCGUGCCAGCAGCCGCGGUAAUACGGAGGGGGCUAGCGUUGUUCGGAAUUACUGGGCGUAAAGCGCACGUAGGCGGCUUUGUAAGUCAGAGGUGAAAGCCUGGAGCUCAACUCCAGAACUGCCUUUGAGACUGCAUCGCUUGAAUCCAGGAGAGGUGAGUGGAAUUCCGAGUGUAGAGGUGAAAUUCGUAGAUAUUCGGAAGAACACCAGUGGCGAAGGCGGCUCACUGGACUGGUAUUGACGCUGAGGUGCGAAAGCGUGGGGAGCAAACAGGAUUAGAUACCC